Molecule: long non-coding RNA, 694 nt
Organism: Callorhinus ursinus (northern fur seal)
Lineage: Eukaryota; Metazoa; Chordata; Mammalia; Carnivora; Otariidae
Source: RefSeq, a predicted model, not a curated record
AAGACUCUGCUUUCAAUUUCUUUGGAGAAAUACCCAGUAGUGGGAUUGUUGGAUUGAGGAUUCCGACUCCUAUCUUGUGGGCUUCGACCAGCAAAGCCCACGGUGGCAGAAAUAAUUACUCCAGACUACGGAUCAGUCAAGAGAGCUGAAAGCACUCUCGCUGAGUGGGGAGCCAGGUGGCAGGAUUACGUGCAGACCUGCUCUCCUGCUAAGUGCAAAUACCGCAUCCUUGUAGAGGGGAGAGAAACGCGGCCGUCGCCCUCCAUUUCCAGUCACUUGCGCUCUUCGAAAGCCUACAAGAAGAUCGGAGUGAAGCAGCAAACGAUGUUAAGUUGAAACCAAAAGAAAGGAAUGAAGGUAAUAGCACCAACUGUGCAAACUUACUUGUAAAUCCCAGCAAGUCACUCAGUGCUGUGGGCUGGAUCUGGCAGCCGCUGGAUUCUUUCCUCGAUCCCUGUUCUCCGGAGCAGGGCCUCUUCCACCGUGGAAUGCCUAAGAAUCCAGGUGCUGCCAAGCAAAUGCUGUGGGAUUUGGAGGUGUGGGGAGGAAAAGUCUAGGUGGACGAGGAAGGAAGGGAGCUGUGUGUGUGUUGAGAGAAGCCGAAACCUGGUGGGGAAACCUGCCUGUUUUCUUGCUUCUUGCUCCUUUGGCUGUUGGUGCCAGGUGGUAAAUAAAGCUGGUAUCGGGAACUGUC